UGCGCCUUGCCAGCCCGCUCAGAAACUUAAAGGAAUUGACGGGGGCCCGCACAAGCGGAGGAACAUGUGGUUUAAUUCGAUGAUACGCGAGGAACCCUUACCUGGGCUAGAACGCAUUCGGAAUCAGGCCGAAAGGCCUGCGCCAGCGAUGGCCGCUUGCGAGGUGCUGCAUGGUUGUCGUCAGCUCGUGCCGUGAGGUGUCGGGUUAAGUCCCAUAACGAGCGCAACCCCUACUGCUAGUUGCCAGCGGGUCAUGCCGGGGACUCUAGCGGAACUGCCAGCGUAAGCUGCGAGGAAGGUGGGGAUGACGUCAAAUCAGCACGGCCCUUACGUCCAGGGCUACACACGUGUUACAAUGGCCGGUACAGAGGGCAGCCACCCCGCGAGGGGGCGCGAAUCCCGAAAGCCGGUCCCAGUUCGGAUCGGAGUCUGCAACCCGACUCCGUGAAGCUGGAUUCGCUAGUAAUCGCGCAUCAGCCACGGCGCGGUGAAUACGUUCCCGGGCCUU
This 508-nucleotide ribosomal RNA is filed under the name uncultured Rikenellaceae bacterium. RNAcentral's name for it is "bacterial SSU rRNA". It matches the Rfam family "Bacterial small subunit ribosomal RNA", at positions 903 to 1382 of the family's 1533-position model. Lineage: Bacteria; Pseudomonadati; Bacteroidota; Bacteroidia; Bacteroidales; Rikenellaceae. The record is from RNAcentral.